CGGGUCGGCGGUGGAGCCGCAAAGAGGGGGUUGCUGCCGCGAUGGCAUUCGUGCGAAAGACAGGUGCGAUUCGGCACAGCGACGGACCGGUGACAAACGCAGCCGGCACGGUGAUGUACGGCUCACAGCAUGCAGCGUUCGUCUGAUAUUAAAUGACAAAUUCUGGACCAUCAAACCACAAUGUAUAUUAUUAAUAUACAAAAAUAAUUUAUUUAAUUUAUUAAUACCAUUU
This 232-nucleotide long non-coding RNA is filed under the name Elaeis guineensis (African oil palm). RNAcentral describes it as "long non-coding RNA (EGUI_LNC000454)". Lineage: Eukaryota; Viridiplantae; Streptophyta; Magnoliopsida; Arecales; Arecaceae. The record is from RNAcentral.